GAUGAACGCUGGCGGCGUGCCUAAUACAUGCAAGUCGAGCGAACAGACGAGGAGCUUGCUCCUCUGACGUUAGCGGCGGACGGGUGAGUAACACGUGUAUCACCUCCCUAUCAGACUGGGAUAACUUCGGGAAACCGGAGCUAAUACCGGAUAAUAUCUUGCACCGCAUUGUUCAAUAGUGAAAGACGGUUUUGCUGUCACUUAUAGAUGGAUCCGCGCCGCAUUAGCUAGUUUGUAAGGUCACGGCUUACCAAGGCAACGCUGCGUAGCCGACCUGAGAGGGGGAUCGGCCACACGGGAACUGAGACACGGUCCAGACUACUACGGGAGGCAGCAGGAGGGAAUCUUCCGCAAUGGGCGAAAGCCUGACGGAGCAACGCCGCGUGAGUGAUGAAGGUCUUCGGAUCGUAAAACUCUGUUAUUAGGGAAGAACAAAUGUGUAAGUAACUAUGCACGUCUUGACGGUACCUAAUCAGAAAGCCACGGCUAACUACGUG
This 497-nucleotide ribosomal RNA is filed under the name uncultured bacterium. RNAcentral describes it as "partial 16S ribosomal RNA". It matches the Rfam family "Bacterial small subunit ribosomal RNA", at positions 28 to 507 of the family's 1533-position model. The record is from RNAcentral.